RNAcentral lists this ribosomal RNA (513 nucleotides) under uncultured bacterium. RNAcentral describes it as "bacterial SSU rRNA". It matches the Rfam family "Bacterial small subunit ribosomal RNA", at positions 35 to 507 of the family's 1533-position model. The record is from RNAcentral.
GCUGGCGGCAUGCCUAAUACAUGCAAGUCGAACGGUACAGGUCGCUGUGAUCCCUUCGGGGUGAACUUGAUGCUGACGAGUGGCGGACGGGUGAGUAAUGCUUGGGAAUCUGCCCAGUAGUGGGGGACAACACGGGGAAACUCGUGCUAAUACCGCAUACGUCCCCUUGUUUGAUUUACGAGGGGAGAAAGUGGGGGAUCGUUCGGACCUCACGCUAUUGGAUGAGCCCAAGUCGGAUUAGCUUGUUGGUGGGGUAACGGCUUACCAAGGCGACGAUCCGUAGCUGGUCUGAGAGGACGAUCAGCCACACUGGGACUGAGACACGGCCCAGACUCCUACGGGAGGCAGCAGUGGGGAAUAUUGGACAAUGGGGGCGAACCCCUGAUCCAGCAAUGCCGCGUGUGUGAAGAAGGCCUGCGGGUUGUAAAGCACUUUCAAUCGUGAAGAAAAGCUUACGGUUAAUACCCGUAAGUAUUGACGUUAACGAUACAAGAAGCACCGGCUAACUCCGUG